UUUUAAUUCAAAAAGUGCACUCAAAGGCUUGAAAAAUGUAUAAAUAAUAUUGUCUUCGUCAUUUUUAGUUUUUUUUGCUUAUUUUCGAUAAAAUUUCGUUUAGGAACGAGCUAAUUCGAGUGAAAUCGGCAAAUUCUCAUCAAUUUCGAUCUAAUUUGUUGAUAUUUUACCGAAAUUUUUUAACUGAUAGAAGAGCUAAAACAAAAAAUGCAAAAUUAGUGUAAUUAUUUGGUGUUUUUUUUAUUGUUCUAUUGAUAUAUUUUAAAGAGUGGCGUUGAGGGUGACAGGUCCCGAGGGAGUGUCUGGCGCAUGGUGGGGGUAAAACUCCCUUCGAUCUGAUUGGAGAUUAUUUGAUGGUCACCCCCCACUCCCGGCCUACUGGCCAAUAGUUUGAAUAGUGAAAUUGAAAGUAGCCAAAGCCAACUGAACGAAAUGCGAAAUUGUUGCAAUAAAUUAUGAUUACUAUAGUAAUGUGCAGUUAUUUCAUACGCGGCCUACUUUUUUUUGAUAAGAGAGCUAAAACACGGGAAAAAUGCAAAAUUAGUGUAAUUAUUAUAGCGAUUUAAUUUUGUGAUUUUUCUGUUAUUUUGUUGAUAUCUGUGAUUUUAAUUCAAAAAACGCAUUCAAAGGCUUGAAAAAUGUAUAAAUAAUAUUGUCUUCGUCAUUUUUAGUUUUUUUUUUUGCUUAUUUUCGAUAAAAUUUCGUUUAGGAACGAGCUAAUUCGAGUGAAAUCGGCAAAUUCUCAUCAAUUUCGAUCUAAUUUGUUGAUAUUUUACCGAAAUUUUUUAACUGAUAGAAGAGCUAAAACAAAAAAUGCAAAAUUAGUGUAAUUAUUUGGUGUUUUUUUUAUUGUUCUAUUGAUAUAUUUUAAAGAGUGGCGUUGAGGGUGACAGGUCCCGAGGGAGUGUCUGGCGCAUGGUGGGGGUAAAACUCCCUUCGAUCUGAUUGGAGAUUAUUUGAAGGUCACCCCCACCCCGGCCCACUGGCCAAUAGUUUGCAUAUUGAAACUGAAAGUAGCCAAAGCAAACUGAGCGAAAUGCGAAAUUAUUGCAAUAAAUUAUGAUAACUAUAGUAAUGUGCAGUUAUUUCAUACGCGGCCUACUUGUUCUCGCAAUUAAAAAUGAUAAAACGUUGCAUCGUGAUGCUAAUCGGGAGCACCUAGUUUUUUCUCAAAUUUUUACCUGAUUUACCUAAAAUAUUCCUUUCAUAGCCUACUAACUACUCCCAUUUGAACAGUCCAUAAUUCCGAGUGAAACCAUAAUUGAGCGUAAAUCACGCAGGCGUAAAAUUAAAUAAAGACGAUUUUCAAUAUCGGACGUGCCUUUUUUCAAGCGACGAAAGUUCCGGUUUUUCCCCCACCAUGAGUGUGUGCUUUAAAGAAAUACACGGUGUUUACUUCAAAGCGGCUUAAAUUCGCGAUUUAGUUCGACGAGAUACGUGUGAAGUUGCAGUGGUGGUUAGAACAGUGAUCCCAAUUUUUCACCGUUAAGGCAAGGUCGGGCAAGGCCGACCGCAGAAGAUAUUCAAAUAAGAGCAAAAAAGAUGUCUUUUCUCAUUCCCCUGACCCUGUUCAUCCUCGCCCCCCAUGCCUACCCCAUGCCCCGCGACCCCAAAACCCUCGCCUACUUCGACUACCUCCCCGAAGACUACGACAUCACGAUGGCUGUGGAAAAUGACAUAAGCCGGACCAUCCCCAAGGGCAAACCCAUCUACAACUCGCCCAUUUAUUACAUCCGACUGCCACCACAACCAUAUGUGUACGUCCCAGGGUUGGGGUACGUGUCCCAGCCGCCGCCUCCACCGCCCCCGGUCUCGCCUUUCGUGAGCCUUCCCUUGAGUUUCGUGGCGAAUGGUAAACCAUCGACCAUUUACCAGUGGGACAGCGAUGGGUUCGAGGAACCCACACCCACGAAACGACCGGUGGACUCGAUGGUACAUAAGCUGGAUGGGCAGUUUACCUUCAAUGGGAAGCCGGAUAAAAUCUCGGUCUUGAGGGAUUCCUACAACGCGCUGUAUGGAGACGCCUUGCAGAAUUUCUACCCUUGAUUAAAUUUUGUUUUAUUUAUUUAUUUAUUGAUGUAUUUAUUGAGAAAUAAACGUUAAAUGCAAUUAUUUUAGUGAGGGGGCGGUAAAUUUCAAAAUCCAGGGGUGCCACACAGUAAAGUUACUAGAUUUUUCAAAAUGGCUAUUGGGGUUAAGAAAAAUCGCCGAUUUUUCACUGAAAUUGUGUGAUUAAUGAUUAUUUAAGGACAAAGUGAUUUUAAGUGAAAUUGUGUGGUGACACCAAAGUUGGAACCCUGGUCCAGGGUUUGUUUAAAGUUGGUUUAUUUAUUCGGGGAUUUGUCAUGAGUUUGAAAGACACGGUGGAAAAGUACUUUCACGACCACAAUAAUCCAGUAGUUAAGACGGAAUCGUUCGGUGCGAAAUUAUUUUUGUCUCCUUUGAGUGACGAUGAAGAGGGGCGAAAAAAUCGCUGUCUUUCGGGAAUAGAGACUGUUUUAAGACACACACGUGUUGAAAGAAGAGUUGCUAGAAGUGUGGCUGAAUGGCUCCCUAAUCGAAAUGUGGCCCAAGUGACCAAAGUAACCGGUUCUUUGAAAGGAGGCUUCGGUGCGCAAACGAAAGACGGGAAAAUUUUGAGCCCCGAAGAGACAUUAUUUCUCCUAGAAGCU
Tribolium castaneum (red flour beetle) is the source of this 2672-nucleotide RNA transcript. RefSeq lists it as uncharacterized. The transcript has 4 exons. NCBI's taxonomy places the organism in Eukaryota, Metazoa, Arthropoda, Insecta, Coleoptera, Tenebrionidae. The record is from RefSeq and is a predicted model, not a curated record.